RNAcentral lists this long non-coding RNA (285 nucleotides) under Struthio camelus australis. Its description in RNAcentral is "lncRNA (ENSSCUG00000005531.1)". The record is from RNAcentral. Lineage: Eukaryota; Metazoa; Chordata; Aves; Struthioniformes; Struthionidae.
UAGCUGAUCAAACACAGUCUAGUGGGUUUAAUACGGGAAUUACUGGAUUAAAUUCAAAGGUUCCCAAUAUUAUCGGUUGUCCUCAUUCCUGACAAGUAAACACACUUCUCCACAGAGUUUUCUGCCCUGUGCCUUCAGGCUAUACGUGGAUGUCUCUCAGAGGUGACCUAGGAGUUGGAAGCGCUCCAGAGAGUGCUCUGGAGCUCUUUCCUGGAAGAGCAAAGUCCUGACCCUGAAGGCCUCACUUUUGAACCUCCCAGACAAGCCAGAUUUACUGAUGCCGUU